CCUACCCCUAGAGACGUUGCAGGCAUGGCUGCUAUCUCACAUGUGUGUCCAUAGGUGACAGAGAGGAGAAAGUCUAUGUCUCUUUUAAAUGUUCUGACCUAUGAACAUCUGAAUAAUUAGUAACCUACCAUU
Mastomys coucha (southern multimammate mouse) is the source of this 132-nucleotide small nucleolar RNA. RefSeq annotates it as small nucleolar RNA SNORA17. Lineage: Eukaryota; Metazoa; Chordata; Mammalia; Rodentia; Muridae. The transcript has a single exon. The record is from RefSeq and is a predicted model, not a curated record.